This 852-nucleotide ribosomal RNA is filed under the name uncultured bacterium. Its description in RNAcentral is "bacterial SSU rRNA". It matches the Rfam family "Bacterial small subunit ribosomal RNA", at positions 8 to 892 of the family's 1533-position model. The record is from RNAcentral.
AGAGUUUGAUCCUGGCUCAGGAUGAACGCUGGCGGUAUGCCUAACACAUGCAAGUCGUACGAGAGUUUUUAACUCUAGUGGCGGACGGGUGAGUAACACGUGAGAAUUUGCCUUUAGGAGGGGGAUAACAAUCGGAAACGAAUGCUAAUACCCCAUAUGCUUUCGAGUGAAAUGGAUUUAUAUUUAUCCGCCUAGAGAGAAGCUCGCGGCUGAUUAGCUUGUUGGUAAGGUAAGAGCUUACCAAGGCGACGAUCAGUAUCUGGUUUGAGAGGACGAUCAGACACACUGGAACUGAGACACGGUCCAGACUCCUACGGGAGGCAGCAGUGGGGAAUUUUCCGCAAUGGGCGAAAGCCUGACGGAGCAAUACCGCGUGAGGGAAGACUGCCUAUGGGUUGUAAACCUCUUUUUUCAGGGAGGAAUAAAAUGACGUGUACCUGAAGAAUAAGCAUCGGCUAACUCCGUGCCAGCAGCCGCGGUAAGACGGAGGAUGCAAGUGUUAUCCGGAAUCACUGGGCGUAAAGCGUCUGUAGGUGGUUUGAUAAGUCAACUGUUAAAUCUUGAGGCUCAACUUCAAAAUCGCAGUCGAAACUAUUAGACUAGAGUAUAGUAGAGGUAAAGGGAAUUUCCAGUGGAGCGGUGAAAUGCGUAGAUAUUGGAAAGAACACCGAUGGCGAAAGCACUUUACUGGGCUAUUACUAACACUCAGAGACGAAAGCUAGGGUAGCAAAUGGGAUUAGAUACCCCAGUAGUCCUAGCCGUAAACUAUGGAUACUAGAUGUUGAACAGAUCGACCUGUGCAGUAUCAAAGCUAACGCGUUAAGUAUCCCGCCUGGGAAGUAUGCACGCAAG